AGUAAUGCUUGGGAAUCUGGCUUAUGGAGGGGGGUAACUACGGGAAACUGUAGCUAAUACCGCGUAGAAUCGGAAGAUGGAAGUGCGGGACCGCAAGGCCGCAUGCCAUGAGAUGAGCCCAAGUGGGAUUAGGUAGUUGGUGGGGUAAAGGCCUACCAAGCCUGCGAUCUCUAGCUGGUCUGAGAGGAUGGCCAGCCACACUGGAACUGAGACACGGUCCAG
RNAcentral lists this ribosomal RNA (222 nucleotides) under uncultured bacterium. RNAcentral's name for it is "partial 16S ribosomal RNA". It matches the Rfam family "Bacterial small subunit ribosomal RNA", at positions 109 to 334 of the family's 1533-position model. The record is from RNAcentral.